GACGAACGCUGGCGGCGUGCUUAACACAUGCAAGUCGAACGAGAAUCUGAUGAAGGAGUUUUCGGACAACGGAUUCAGAGGACAGUGGCGGACGGGUGAGUAACGCGUGAGGAACCUGCCUUUCAGAGGGGGACAACAGUUGGAAACGACUGCUAAUACCGCAUAACACAUCGGAGUCGCAUGGCUCUGAUGUCAAAGAUUUAUCGCUGAAAGAUGGCCUCGCGUCUGAUUAGCUAGUUGGUGAGGUAACGGCCCACCAAGGCGACGAUCAGUAGCCGGACUGAGAGGUUGACCGGCCACAUUGGGACUGAGAUACGGCCCAGACUCCUACGGGAGGCAGCAGUGGGGAAUAUUGGGCAAUGGGCGCAAGCCUGACCCAGCAACGCCGCGUGAAGGAAGAAGGCUUUCGGGUUGUAAACUCUUUUAGCAGGGAUGAAGGACGUGACGGUACCUGCAGAAAAGCAACGGCUAACUACGUG
Molecule: ribosomal RNA, 479 nt
Filed under: uncultured bacterium
Lineage: Bacteria
Description: bacterial SSU rRNA
Rfam family: Bacterial small subunit ribosomal RNA
Source: RNAcentral